This 296-nucleotide long non-coding RNA is filed under the name Manihot esculenta (cassava). RNAcentral describes it as "long non-coding RNA (MESC_LNC010178)". The record is from RNAcentral. Lineage: Eukaryota; Viridiplantae; Streptophyta; Magnoliopsida; Malpighiales; Euphorbiaceae.
GGCACUGUUACCACUCACGGCCCAGGGCUAUCCCUCGCCUGGCCUCUUGCCACCUCGGGCUUUCCUCUUGCCACCUCGGGCUUUCCACUGGCGUCGUGAGCAGCUCUUAACAUCCCUUCACCCUCACGGGUUCCAGGCAGGAUUUGUCCCCUUGGGUUCUCGUCAAACGCAUCCUUCCCCAAGUGGAUUUGGCCCAAAUUUCCCUUAGGAAAUUAGGUCGCCUCCCCCACUGCUCGAACCCUUGACCUCCCACUUUAAGGGAAUAGUCUGGUGAGAGUGAGUACCAAUUGUUCCAA